AUACGAAGGGUGCAAGCGUUAAUCGGAAUUACUGGGCGUAAAGCGCGCGUAGGUGGUUCGUUAAGUUGGAUGUGAAAGCCCCGGGCUCAACCUGGGAACUGCAUCCAAAACUGGCGAGCUAGAGUAUAGCAGAGGGUGGUGGAAUUUCCUGUGUAGCGGUGAAAUGCGUAGAUAUAGGAAGGAACACCAGUGGCGAAGGCGACCACCUGGGCUAAUCCUGCAACUGGAGGGCGAAGGCGGGGGGAGCAAACAGGAUUAGAUCCCCUGGUAUUCCACGCCGUAAACGAUGUCGACUAGCCGUUGGGAUCCUUGAGAUCUUAGUGGCGCAGCUAACGCAUUAAGUCGACCGCCUGGGGAGUACGGCCGCAAGGUUAAAACUCAAAUGAAUUGACGGGU
This 396-nucleotide ribosomal RNA is filed under the name uncultured bacterium. Its description in RNAcentral is "partial 16S ribosomal RNA". It matches the Rfam family "Bacterial small subunit ribosomal RNA", at positions 523 to 918 of the family's 1533-position model. The record is from RNAcentral.